AAUGGGCGCAAAGCCUGAUCCACCCAUGCCGCGUGAGUGAUGAAGGCCCUAGGGUCGUAAAGCUCUUUCGCCUGUGAAGAUAAUGACGGUAGCAGGUAAAGAAACCCCGGCUAACUCCGUGCCAGCAGCCGCGGUAAUACGGAGGGGGUUAGCGUUGUUCGGAAUUACUGGGCGUAAAGCGCGCGUAGGCGGAUUAGUAAGUCAGAGGUGAAAUCCCGGGGCUCAACCCCGGAACUGCCUUUGAUACUGCUAGUCUUGAGUUCGAGAGAGGUAAGUGGAAUUCCGAGUGUAGAGGUGAAAUUCGUAGAUAUUCGGAGGAACACCAGUGGCGAAGGCGGCUUACUGGCUCGAUACUGACGCUGAGGUGCGAAAGUGUGGGGAGCAAACAGGAUU
This 393-nucleotide ribosomal RNA is filed under the name uncultured Gammaproteobacteria bacterium. RNAcentral's name for it is "bacterial SSU rRNA". It matches the Rfam family "Bacterial small subunit ribosomal RNA", at positions 370 to 779 of the family's 1533-position model. The record is from RNAcentral. Lineage: Bacteria; Pseudomonadati; Pseudomonadota; Gammaproteobacteria.